This 1461-nucleotide ribosomal RNA is filed under the name Triticum aestivum (bread wheat). Its description in RNAcentral is "partial small subunit ribosomal RNA". The record is from RNAcentral. Lineage: Eukaryota; Viridiplantae; Streptophyta; Magnoliopsida; Poales; Poaceae.
AUGGUUCGCCUGCCAGACAACGAUGUCGCCGUCAUCAAACUAGAGAGCCGUGCGCUCUCCCCUCCCCGCCACCCAGCCCACCGCGUGUUUUCCUUUCCUGAGCAAACCGAGGCUACGGAAGUCGAUGUCGAUGGCCUAGAUGAGGAAGAGGACCCGGACGAGGUCGAGUUUGAGUCGGGGGACGAGUCCACCAACUCAGAUGAGACCCAAUCGGUUUUCACCUCUUCUCCACCUAGGCAUCGCCACGGCUUCUCGAACGUUUUCAUGCCAUACACACCCAUCGAGCACUUCCAAAACCUAGCUUAUGCCCUUGUCAACCCACCCCACCCCUCCCCACAGGCCUGCGUGCGCCGUGCUCUCCAAACCGGGGCUGGCAACCCUCCUGUUCUGAUCCGGGCCUCGUCCUACGGGGCAGGCCUGGUGAUCUUUGGAUCGGCCUAUGAGAGGGAGGUCUCCAUCCUUUCCAGCCCACUCACGUGCCCAAUCAACUCCGUCAGCCUCAUCCGCCAUGAGGACACAGAAAAUCGCUUUCUUUUCCGCCUCGGCACGGUUUCCGCCCUUAACAUCGAGGACUUUCCAAUCGAAUACUGGUUCACCCCCACGAUUACCAACUCCAAUGUUCCUUUUGCCUGUCCCAUCCAGAUCGACCCGGUUUGCCUCACCGGGGUCGACUACUCCGCAGUCCUUGUCUCUGUCAAGAGCCGCAGCCUUACCGACGUGCCUCACUCCAUCCCGGUGCACGGUUUCUCCGGUCUUGGUGCCAUCGCUUCCGUCCUCGUAGUCCACUCUCAAGAGCUCCCACCUGACCCUGCUUUUGCCAUGCCAGACUCCGACGAUGACAGCAACGGCGGGGGCGGCGGUGACGGUGGGGACGGGGACUUUCCCGCCGGCAUGGAUCCGAACCUCUCUGCUCCUCCACCACCACCCACCGACAAGAGCCAUGACGACCGAGUGGUUCAGCUGCCCGGCGGCCUCACCAUGAUGGCGAACCACAAGCCGUUGGUGUGUGCAGUGCCUCUCACGGCCCGUCCCAAGUCGGUGGAAGUUAAGCUCUUCAAGGGCUUCUACGACGUGCGCGUCAUGGGCGCGCGUGGCGAGCGCGGCUUCUACCGCAUCCCCAUGAGCCCAGCGGGAUCGCCCAAGCUCAUCAUCACCAACCUCGCCACUUGCUCCAUCGGCUUCCUCGACAGGGUGGCCACCGUGGGGCCUUCCCACACGCCUUUCACGGACGCCAGAGGUCAUCUGCAACGACCUUCGCGGCCGCGCCCUCACCCACGGCUGACGACGAGGACCAAGUCAUGCAUGCAGUGGAGCGCUUCGACGCCAGCCUUCCUUCUAUCCAGGCCACGCCGCCACUUCCCAUCAACGGCGUCGCACAGGCUGGGGAGCCCGAGCAGCUGCAGCCGUCUCCUCCUCCCCCCGGCACGCCCGUCGACCUCCCUCCCCACGCCGCUUCGCUGA